AUAGAACUGUGAACUGGAACAAACCACAAAUCCUCAGCAUGGAAGACAGAGGAUACUCUCCAAAAGACAGGAUACUUCUUUGGAUACUGUGAUGAAGAGGUUUUUUGGUGCACUGGCUCUUAUGACAGUGAAGGAUGUGUUCUGGGGCCCCGUCAUGCAGAAAGGGAAAUGGUGGGAGAAAUAAAAUGUUGCGACACCAGUGAACCGCCUGGGCGAGGCACGCUUCCGUAAUUGCUUUGGAUGCAYGCACCGGUUCCUCAAGUCAGCAGAGGAUCCCAGCAGAGCCAGACGCCGUAGGAUACCCGUUUGCAAACCCCGGUUACGUAACCCUGUCCGGGAGGAACACAGCUGCGCGUWGGCUGCGAUGGAAAGCUGCAUCUUGGAGAGAGUAAACAAGUUCUUCAAAAUUCAGAAGCAGGAUUGGGACUUGAACCUUGUGCCUUUGCAGCCCGGUCCUGUCAUAACUGCAAGACUAACUUCCUCUUGAGACAAGGAAUGCUCAAGGUAAGAUUAGAUUCAAAGACUGGAAAACAAGUUGAAUGUUGAGU
This 548-nucleotide long non-coding RNA is filed under the name Apteryx owenii (little spotted kiwi). RNAcentral's name for it is "lncRNA (ENSAOWG00000007901.1)". Lineage: Eukaryota; Metazoa; Chordata; Aves; Apterygiformes; Apterygidae. The record is from RNAcentral.